RNAcentral lists this ribosomal RNA (337 nucleotides) under uncultured Bacillota bacterium. RNAcentral's name for it is "bacterial SSU rRNA". It matches the Rfam family "Bacterial small subunit ribosomal RNA", at positions 28 to 351 of the family's 1533-position model. The record is from RNAcentral. Lineage: Bacteria; Bacillati; Bacillota.
GACGAACGCUGGCGGCGUGCCUAAUACAUGCAAGUCGAGCGGAGCUUAGCCUUCCUUUGGAAGGCUCUGGCUUAGCGGCGGACGGGUGAGUAACACGUAGGCAACCUGCCCGUAAGACCGGGAUAACUUGCGGAAACGUGAGCUAAUACCGGAUAGAUAGGAAGAGUGCAUGCUCUUCUUAGGAAAGACGGAGCAAUCUGUCACUUACGGAUGGGCCUGCGGCGCAUUAGCUAGUUGGUGGGGUAAAGGCCUACCAAGGCGACGAUGCGUAGCCGACCUGAGAGGGUGACCGGCCACACUGGGACUGAGACACGGCCCAGACUCCUACGGGUGGCAG